GCACCAGUGGGGAAUAUUGGGCAAUGGAGGAAACUCUGACCCAGCGACGCCGCGUGAGGGAUGAAGGCCUUCGGGUUGUAAACCUCUUUCAGUAGGGAAGAAGCGAAAGUGACGGUACCUACAGAAGAAGCACCGGCUAACUAUGUGCCAGCAGCCGCGGUAAUACAUAGGGUGCAAGCGUUGUCCGGAAUUAUUGGGCGUAAAGAGCUCGUAGGUGGUUCGAUACGUCGGAUGUGAAAAUCAGGGGCUCAACCCCUGACCUGCAUCCGAUACGGUCGAGCUAGAGUUUGGUAGGGGAGACUGGAAUUCCUGGUGUAGCGGUGGAAUGCGCAGAUAUCAGGAGGAACACCGAUGGCGAAGGCAGGUCUCUGGGCCAAUACUGACACUGAGGAGCGAAAGCGUGGGGAGCGAACAGGAUUAGAUACCCCGGUAGUCCG
This 437-nucleotide ribosomal RNA is filed under the name actinobacterium SCGC AAA044-M13. RNAcentral's name for it is "bacterial SSU rRNA". It matches the Rfam family "Bacterial small subunit ribosomal RNA", at positions 348 to 797 of the family's 1533-position model. The record is from RNAcentral. Lineage: Bacteria; Bacillati; Actinomycetota; Actinomycetes.